RNAcentral lists this long non-coding RNA (554 nucleotides) under Heterocephalus glaber (naked mole-rat). RNAcentral describes it as "lncRNA (ENSHGLG00100042950.1)". The record is from RNAcentral. Lineage: Eukaryota; Metazoa; Chordata; Mammalia; Rodentia; Bathyergidae.
CUGUCACUUGUGAGCCGUGUGGUCAAGGUGUGAGGGAAGGUCACGUGGAGGCUGCUGCCAAGGUCAAGGUGCAGGUGCGGCACAUGCUCGGCCGGAUCUGGCCCCACCCUCGCUGAUGUUUGAGGAAUCCUCCAGUGUGAAGAUGCACUUGAAGGAGAAUUGGUGAGCUCCAUCCAGAGGCAUCAUCAGACCCCGUGGAGGAAGGCAGAGCACUGUCCCCGGAGCACCCAGCGGGCACCUCCGGAGAGCUCAGAGUGACCACAUCUGGCAGAAGAAGGAAAAAAUGUAGUUAUUGAAUCCAAUCCAGUGUUUGUGUCUCUCACAUUAUCAACAAAAGUGGUCAAGAAAGGUUCCAGUUGGCCCCAUGAACACAUGGAUAUAGAAGGAGCCACAUGAAGAUGGAGAAAUCGAGGCACAGAGAAAUCAAGUGACUUCGCCACAGUCACAAGCUGGGGAGGACCAGAAAUAGAACCUGAGAGAGCCCGGCUCUGGGCCUGCGUCCUGCCCACAGAGUCACGCUGCCUCCAUCCUCCGGGGAGAAGGCUCCUUGCAAG